GCUAGCAUAAUCUUCAAUUUUAUAACAUGACAGGAGGCUUCGUAUUUGCAGUUUUAACGCUUAGGUAGAAGAGCGAAAGCGGCAUUGGACGACAGGCGAAAAUAGAAGGUCCGAAAGGUAGAUUCCCGGGACCAAUCUGCCGUGUGUAGGAUAUCCGCCAGAGACGCGCCUGCUAAAAAUGCCGAUGAUGCCGCUGCCCCUCGAACGGAGUGUGCACCAAAUGAGGCGUCUACCCCGGCUAGGGCGAGAAUCCAUCUGACCCAUCUGGCCAAUGUGAUGACCGAGACCGGGCCGUGUGGAGUCACAUAUGAUACCAAAAGUUGUCGUGC
Non-coding RNA from Pelobates cultripes (western spadefoot toad), 329 nucleotides. The record is from the annotation of a GenBank genome assembly. Lineage: Eukaryota; Metazoa; Chordata; Amphibia; Anura; Pelobatidae.